ACGAACGCUGGCGGCAUGCUUAAUACAUGCAAGUCGAACGAGAAAGUUUCUUCGGAAACGAGUAUAGUGGCGCACGGGUGCGUAACACGUAGGUGACCUACCUUUUAGUCGGGGACAACAUCGGGAAACUGAUGCUAAUACCGGAUGUGGUAAUCAAUUUUGAAAGUAGAUUACUAAAGGCAGCCUCUGCAUAUGCAGUUGCUAGAAGAAGGGCCUGCGGAACAUUAGCUUGAUGGUGAGGUAAUGGCUUACCAUGGCUACGAUGUUUAGGGGGUCUGAGAGGAUGAUCCCCCACACUGGAACUGAGACACGGUCCAGACUCCUACGGGAGGCAGCAGUAGGGAAUAUUGCGCAAUGGGCGAAAGCCUGACGCAGCAAUGCCGCGUGAGUGAGGAAGGCCUUCGGGUUGUAAAGCUCUGUCAUACGGGAAGAACUGGGAUUGUAUUAAUAGUACUUUCUCUUGACGGUACCGUAGAAGGAAGCACCGGCUAACUUCGUGCCAGCAGCCGCGGUAAUACGAAGGGUGCAAGCGUUGUUCGGAUUUAUUGGGCGUAAAGCGCGCGCAGGCGGAUGUGCAAGUCAGAUGUGAAAUCUCGGGGCUCAACCCCGAAACUGCGUCUGAAACUGUUCAUCUAGAAUCAUAUAGGGGGUAGGGGAAUUUCACGUGUAGGGGUAAAAUCCGUAGAGAUGUGAAGGAAACACCAGUGGCGAAGGCGCCUACCUGGAUAUGUAUUGACGCUGAGGCGCGAAAGCGUGGGUAGCAAACAGGAUUAGAUACCCUGGUAGUCCACGCCGUAAACGAUGAGCACUAGCUUUUAGAGGUAUUGACUCCUUUAGUGGCGCAGCUAACGCAUUAAGUGCUCCGCCUGGGAAGUACGGCCGCAAGGCUAAAACUCAAAGGAAUUGACGGGGGCCCGCACAAGCGGUGGAUUAUGUGGUUUAAUUCGAAGCAACGCGCAGAACCUUACCAAGGCUUGAAAUCCUACGAAUCCGAUGUAAUUGUUGGAGUGCUCGCAAGAGAAUGUAGUGACAGGUGCUGCAUGGCUGUCGUCAGCUCGUGUUGUGAAAUGUUGGGUUAAGUCCCGCAACGAGCGCAACCCCUAUUCUUAGUUGCCAGCAUUAAGUUGGGCACUCUAAGGAGACUGCCUGGGAAACCAGGAGGAAGGUGGGGAUGACGUCAAGUCCUCAUGGCCCUUAUGUCCAGGGCUACACACGUAAUACAAUGGCGCGCACAGAGGGAAGCGACCCAGCAAUAGGGAGCUAAUCCCAUAAAACGUUUCGUAGUCCGGAUCGCAGUCUGCAACUCGACUGCGUGAAGUCGGAAUCGCUAGUAAUCGGAGAUCAGCACGCUUCGGUGAAUCCGUUCCCGGGCCUUGUACUCACCGCC
RNAcentral lists this ribosomal RNA (1387 nucleotides) under uncultured prokaryote. RNAcentral's name for it is "partial 16S ribosomal RNA". It matches the Rfam family "Bacterial small subunit ribosomal RNA", at positions 29 to 1394 of the family's 1533-position model. The record is from RNAcentral.